This 374-nucleotide ribosomal RNA is filed under the name uncultured bacterium. RNAcentral describes it as "bacterial SSU rRNA". It matches the Rfam family "Bacterial small subunit ribosomal RNA", at positions 524 to 896 of the family's 1533-position model. The record is from RNAcentral.
UACGAAGGGUGCAAGCGUUAAUCGGAAUUACUGGGCGUAAAGCGUGCGUAGAUGGUUCAUUAAGUCGGAUGUGAAAGCCCCGGGCUCAACCUGGGAAUGGCAUCCGAUACUGGUGGACUAGAGUGCGGUAGAGGAGAGCGGAAUUCCCGGUGUAGCGGUGAAAUGCGUAGAGAUCGGGAGGAACAUCCGUGGCGAAGGCGGCUCUCUGGACCAGCACUGACGUUGAGGCACGAAAGCGUGGGGAGCAAACAGGAUUAGAUACCCUGGUAGUCCACGCCCUAAACGAUGUCGACUGGAUGUUGGGCACACUUUGGUGCUCAGUAUCGAAGCUAACGCGUUAAGUCGACCGCCUGGGGAGUAUGCGCGCAAGCGUG